RNAcentral lists this ribosomal RNA (509 nucleotides) under uncultured bacterium. RNAcentral describes it as "bacterial SSU rRNA". It matches the Rfam family "Bacterial small subunit ribosomal RNA", at positions 15 to 518 of the family's 1533-position model. The record is from RNAcentral.
GAUCAUGGCUCAGGAUGAACGCUAGCUACAGGCUUAACACAUGCAAGUCGAGGGGUAGCAGGGUAGCAAUACCGCUGACGACCGGCGCACGGGUGAGUAACACGUAUCCAACCUUCCCAUAACUCGAGGGAUAGCCUUUACGAAAGAAAGAUUAAUACCUGAUAGUACUUUUUCAAGGCAUCUUGAGAAAGUUAAAGAUUUAUUGGUUAUGGAUGGGGAUGCGUUCCAUUAGAUAGUUGGUGAGGUAACGGCUCACCAAGUCUUCGAUGGAUAGGGGUUCUGAGAGGAAGGUCCCCCACAUUGGUACUGAGACACGGACCAAACUCCUACGGGAGGCAGCAGUGAGGAAUAUUGGUCAAUGGGCGAGAGCCUGAACCAGCCAAGUAGCGUGAAGGAAUGAAGGUCCUAUGGAUUGUAAACUUCUUUUAUAGUAGAAUAAAGUGAUCCACGUGUGGAUUUUUGUAUGUAUACUAUGAAUAAGGAUCGGCUAACUCCGUGCCAGCCGCCGC